RNAcentral lists this ribosomal RNA (253 nucleotides) under uncultured bacterium. RNAcentral's name for it is "partial 16S ribosomal RNA". It matches the Rfam family "Bacterial small subunit ribosomal RNA", at positions 524 to 776 of the family's 1533-position model. The record is from RNAcentral.
UACGUAGGUGGCAAGCGUUGUCCGGAUUUACUGGGCGUAAAGAGCGCGCAGGCGGUCGUUUAAGUCGAAUGUGAAAGCCCCCGGCUCAACUGGGGAGGGUCAUUCGAUACUGAUCGACUUGAAGGCAGGAGAGGGAAGCGGAAUUCCGGGUGUAGUGGUGAAAUGCGUAGAUAUCACUCGGAAGGCCAACGGCGAAGGCAGGUCACUGGAGCGCAACUGACGCUGAGGCACGAAAGCGUGGGGAGCAAACAGG